UAUUGGGUUAGUGUAACUCACACAUUCAUUAACUAUUUCAGAUUAAGAGAACUAAAACCCAGAUCCCAAUCAAUAAGAGGGUUGUGAAUAGUUCACCACCCGGGCUCCUUCAAAAGCUUGUGAAGGUCAUUUUAAGAUGCUCAGUUGUUUACUUUUCGUUUAUUUCUUUAAUUUUCGUUUGUUCUUUUAGAAGAGACAUUCUCAUAAUUCUAUUGGGCAUUCUAAAUUAU
RNAcentral lists this long non-coding RNA (230 nucleotides) under Carica papaya (papaya). RNAcentral describes it as "long non-coding RNA (CPAP_LNC014533)". The record is from RNAcentral. Lineage: Eukaryota; Viridiplantae; Streptophyta; Magnoliopsida; Brassicales; Caricaceae.